Molecule: ribosomal RNA, 499 nt
Filed under: uncultured bacterium
Lineage: Bacteria
Description: bacterial SSU rRNA
Rfam family: Bacterial small subunit ribosomal RNA
Source: RNAcentral
UCAGGAUGAACACUGGCGGCGUGCCUAAUACAUGCAAGUCGAACGCAUUACUCGGUAGUGAGUGGCGAACGGGUGAGUAACACGUAGGUAACUACCUCUAAGACGAGGAUAACGACUGGAAACGGUCGCUAAAACUGGAUAGGAUCAUUUGAGGCAUCUCGAAUGAUUUAAAGGGGCUUUCAAGCCACACUUAGAGAAAGGCCUGCGGCGCAUUAGCUAGUUGGUGGGGUAGAGGCCUACCAAGGCGAUGAUGCGUAGCCGGACUGAGAGGUCGAACGGCCACAUUGGGACUGAGACACGGCCCAAACUCCUACGGGAGGCAGCAGUAGGGAAUUUUCGGCAAUGGGGGAAACCCUGACCGAGCAACGCCGCGUGAAUGAAGAACCGUAUUUCGGUAUGUAAAGUUCUUUUAUUAAGGAAGAAUAUCACGGAUAGGAAAUGAUCUGUGAGUGACGGUACUUAAUGAAUAAGCCCCGGCUAACUAUGUGCCAGCAGCGGC